AGUUGAACAGAGGCAAGCGAUAACAUCAGUAGGUCGGUUUGCUUUGAGAUUAAUAGUGCCGAUGGAGAUGUUAUUUGGAAUUGCUUUGUGUGCAAUUAAUUAUCAGAUGCCCCUGCGCCGCAGGGACUUACUACAGACAAUUGCAAUCUGCAUACCAGAUUUGUUCUAUAUCAGAUGAUCUUUCAGAUGGAUGUUGAGUAAUUUCAUGCAAAUUUGAAAGAUCGUUCAAAAGAGGCGCAAUGUUAUCUACGUGCGUGCUCCCUACCAGUGGUGCCCCUUCAAGUAAUACUGGGUUGUCAUGUGCUUCUUCCUUAAGAUUCAGAAUACUGGGAUGUGAUGUACCUUGAAGUUCAGGUUCUAAUAAAUAUUUGCCUUGGUCAAAGCAAAGCAGUUAUGAAGUUGAUACCCAUUUUGUUAGAAUAUCCAGCUUCGGUGAAAGGACCGGAAGCUAACCACAUUCUUUUGGGGGUGCCUGUUUGGCUUUGGAUCACUUGCAAGGUCUUGGAGGUUUCAAGAUAGUGGACACGGG
Molecule: long non-coding RNA, 529 nt
Organism: Lolium rigidum
Lineage: Eukaryota; Viridiplantae; Streptophyta; Magnoliopsida; Poales; Poaceae
Exons: 5
Source: RefSeq, a predicted model, not a curated record